AUUGAACGCUAGCGGGAUGCUUUACACAUGCAAGUCGAACGAGUGGCGGACGGGUGAGUACUAUAUCGGCACGUGCCCAGUAGCGGGGGAUAACUACUCGUAAGAGUGGCUACUAACGCAUUCUAUUGGCGCGGCCGGUACCGGAAUAGCUAGUUGGCGGGGUAAAGGCUCACCAAGGCGACGAUCCGUAGCUGGUUUGAGAGGACGACCAGCCACACUGGGACUGAGACACGGCCCAGACUCCUACGGGAGGCAGCAGUGGGGAAUUUUGGACAAUGGGGGAAACCCUGAUCCAGCCAUCCCGCGUGUGUGAGAAGGCCUUCGGGUUGUAAAGUACUUUUGGCAGGGAAGCGGUAUCUGCAGAAUAAGCACCGGCUAACUACGUGCCAGCAGCCGCGGUAAUAC
This 405-nucleotide ribosomal RNA is filed under the name uncultured bacterium. RNAcentral describes it as "partial 16S ribosomal RNA". It matches the Rfam family "Bacterial small subunit ribosomal RNA", at positions 30 to 526 of the family's 1533-position model. The record is from RNAcentral.